Long non-coding RNA from Melospiza melodia melodia, 2041 nucleotides. RefSeq lists it as uncharacterized. NCBI's taxonomy places the organism in Eukaryota, Metazoa, Chordata, Aves, Passeriformes, Passerellidae. The record is from RefSeq and is a predicted model, not a curated record. The transcript is spliced from 7 exons.
GGAAAAGGGAAGGGAAGUGGUGAAAAACAGAGUGAAAAAAGUAAAAAGAGUUGGAGGGAAAAAGAGAGGGCAUUGGGGAGGAGCGGUGCUGCCUCAGGUCCUUCCCCGCCGUGGGGCGAAGGAGCCGUUUGAUGCCCGGGAGGGAGUGCAGGUCCCGGUGGCUCCCGGGGGACGGAGCGGUGGCUGUCAGCCCGAGACUCCAACUCCCGGCAGGCCGUGCUGCCGGCGCGGCGUGUGACGCAACGGCUAUCGCGGCACAUGAGUGGCUGUCAGCCCGAGACUCCAACUCCCGGCAGGCCCUGCUGCUGGCGCGGCGUGUGACGCAACGGGCGACGCGGCCCGGCAUUUUUCUCUAAAUCGGCAGUAAAUACAGCUGAGUAAAAUUAGCUUGGUUUUCUUCCUUCUUUUGUAACGGAACUGUUUUUAUUAAAAAUCCUAUUUGAAUAUGUGGAAAAAGUGGGGAUGUCCUGUAAUAUAUCGUCGCUUUUCUUGUUUACAUGGUGCUCAGAAAGCAUGCGUCCCUUAGAGUCCCACGGAAAGGUUCUCAGUGCGAUCUCUAUCAAGGAAGUGUUGGAAGUUAGUGUUUUGGGAAAGAAACGGCAGUUCCACAGAACAUUCCAUUUCACAGAGGCUCUGGGAACGAUUCAUGUUUGCUAUGAGUCUUGAUAAGUUGGAGAAGAGCCCAAGAGAAAUUUUUCAUCCCUUGAUAUAAAAGGGAUCGGUGAAUUUUAACUUUGGAGUCCACUAUGCUAAGGAUGCUCAGCUUACAGGUGAUGAAAUGUUCAGUAAUGUAUUUGCUGCAGCUCUGCUUACCCAAGCUUUGGGUUCCUUCUGUCCCACUGGGAGUUGCCCAGUUUGGUUGCAUCUGGUGAAAUUCACCCUGAGACCUUACAGAACUAGCUCCAACUACGUGAGAGCCAUUUGCAGUUCUCUCCAGACACCUGGAGAAUGGGUGACGUUUCUGAGGAUCCGGCGAGCGUGCUUCUAUCAAAACUCAGUCUGUGAAAUUCCUGGGGAAAACCCUUCUGUGUCCUGAAGGGUUCAAACUCUGGCGAGGAUCCCGUUAUCAGGUGCUCACCUGGAUGGUUCCAGCUGCCAAAGGGAAAGACUCUCGUAUCCUUGUCGUCGGGCUCGGUGCUGUCCAAGAAGAUACGGGGACUAAAAAAAUCAUAAGAAGCAAAAUAUGACUGCAGGGAAAAGAAGCUGGAGAGAACAGAAGACUCAUCACGGCGGGACAGCGUGAAGACUGAAAGUGUAAGAAGAUGUGGAGGGAAAGAGAGAAUCUGACAGGAGCAGCGAACGCACGAGUGCACGAAUUUUGCUUUUUGCUUGGAUGUAAACUCAGGAGUUGAAAGGAAUUUGGGAGUGAGAAGGGACAUUUCAGAAGGAGAAGAAGAAAAAGAAGUUGUUGCUACAGUCCUGGCAAAAGCUUUUGUUCUAGCUAAUAAAAGAAGUUAGUUUAAAAAACAAAAAGGAAAAAAUGUAGUGUUUUUUUUUUCCUUCACUAUGAUAUUCAUUGGUGGUAUAUGGUGUGUUGUUUUAUUUCUUGGUAUUAUUAACUCUGUGUAAAUUGUUUUUUGAGUGAAGCUGACUUUCUGGAUGGGUUGGUUUGUAUUUGAGGCAGGAUUAAUUUCAGUAGGGUUCUUUCAUAGAUUUCUGAUGGGUAUUACUGGGAUUUUGGUUUUGUUUACUGUAUGUAUGAACCUAGAGCUUUGGUAGGGCCAGCUGGGCUGCUGGAGUUUUGGGUGUGAAUUUAUUAGAUGGCUUUUGUUAGAUGCAGUUUUUAAUUUUUGAAAUGUUUUUCAAUGUAGUGGUUUUAAGGUGGUUUUUAAGAAUUCAUUGUAUUGCUUUAUCUUGUUUGUAGUUGGUGUAUGAUAAGGGAUGUGGUGUGAGUUCUUGAACAUUAUGGUUUUGGUGUUCCUAAGUUCUGAUUUCUUUGUGGUUCAAUAUUUUUUUUUAUUUUUAUUUUUUGGGACAGGGGCAUUUAUAUGGUGGGUUUUUAUAGGCAAUAUGUUUUUUAAUUUAGGUAGUGAUAUUUUUU